GGAGGGGUGUCCGAGCGGUUUAAGGAGCUGGUCUUGAAAAUCAGUGUCUCGAAAGAGCCGUGGGUUCGAAUCCCACCCCCUCCG
Non-coding RNA from Tepidanaerobacter syntrophicus, 84 nucleotides. The record is from Rfam. NCBI's taxonomy places the organism in Bacteria, Bacillati, Bacillota, Clostridia, Thermosediminibacterales, Tepidanaerobacteraceae.